Molecule: ribosomal RNA, 460 nt
Filed under: uncultured bacterium
Lineage: Bacteria
Description: partial 16S ribosomal RNA
Rfam family: Bacterial small subunit ribosomal RNA
Source: RNAcentral
CCUACGGGUGAUUGCAGUGAGGAAUAUUGGUCAAUGGACGAGAGUCUGAACCAGCCAAGUAGCGUGAAGGAUGACUGCCCUAUGGGUUGUAAACUUCUUUUAUAAAGGAAUAAAACGAGGCACGUGUGCCUUUUUGCAUGUACUUUAUGAAUAAGGAUCGGCUAACUCCGUGCCAGCAGCCGCGGUAAUACGGAGGAUCCGAGCGUUAUCCGGAUUUAUUGGGUUUAAAGGGAGCGUAGAUGGGUUGUUAAGUCAGUUGUGAAAGUUUGCGGCUCAACCGUAAAAUUGCAAUUGAUACUGGCAGUCUUGAGUACAGUUGAGGUAGGCGGAAUUCGUGGUGUAGAGGUGAAAUGCUUAGAUAUCACGAAGAACCCCGAUUGCGAAGGCAGCCUACCGGCGCGCAACUGACGCUCAUGCACGAAAGCGUGGGUAUCGAACAGGAUUAGAUACCCUUGUAGUC